RNAcentral lists this unclassified non-coding RNA (254 nucleotides) under uncultured Patescibacteria group bacterium. RNAcentral describes it as "contains 16S-23S intergenic spacer region". It matches the Rfam family "Bacterial small subunit ribosomal RNA", at positions 524 to 776 of the family's 1533-position model. The record is from RNAcentral.
UACGUAGGAGGCAAGCGUUAUCCGGAUUAAUUGGGCGUAAAGCGUGCGUAGGCGGUCUUGUAAGUCGCAGUUUAAAGCCUGGGGCUCAACCCCAGUAUGGGUUGCGAUACUGCAAGACUUAGAGGAUUGUUCGGGGUAUCGGAACAGUUGGUGUAGCGGUGAAAUGCGUUGAUAUCAACUGGAUCACCGAAGGCGAAGGCAGAUACCUGGAAUUAUCCUGACGCUGAGGUACGAAAGCUAGGGGAGCGAAAGGG